This 5809-nucleotide long non-coding RNA is filed under the name Nicotiana benthamiana. RNAcentral's name for it is "long non-coding RNA (NBEN_LNC028399)". Lineage: Eukaryota; Viridiplantae; Streptophyta; Magnoliopsida; Solanales; Solanaceae. The record is from RNAcentral.
UUCGAAGUUGUUGGCCUAAGAACAUGUGAAGUUUUGAAGAUUAACAAAAGAACUCAGACAUGGACCAGGUCCAUCUUGUGAAGCACAUCUAUAAUCAACCUAUACAUGUCAGAUGCACGUGAAGGAGAUAAAUCCUACUUAUCAAGCAGCAAUAUCUCCUGAUCUGAUCGAAAAGGUUGCAUAUUAAAUAAGGAAAGAAAGUCUCCUUAUAUGAAGAGAACACAAUCUAGGAUGAAAAUAGUGUUAAAAUUUGAGAUUGUCAUGAACUCUUCCAUGUUAGAAGAGCAGCAAUUGAAUCCCAAUCAAACUCUGAUUACUAACAUAUUAAAUAUCAGUGUUAUUCUCUUUUACGGUUAAUGCACAUAUGCAGAAGUUAAACAAAAAUUAAGAGCAAAAGAGAAAGGCAAUUUUUCAAGCAAUUUAUGUGUGAUUUGAGUGUGCACUCCUGAAGCUACUUGAACGAGAUAGAAGAACCAGUUCCAAGUGUCUAUCUUUUAUUCAAGUUCAAUUAUAGUAGAUGAUUUUACAUUGUACCUUUAACUUUCAUAGAAGAAAUUGUAUUAGGUAUCUAGGGUAUUCAAGUUAGAAUUAACUUAAAGUUGUCGCAGCAGUUGAGGUUGUGUGCCACAAUGGGAUUAGAGUUAAUACUUAGGUUUACAAAGAGAUUUGUAAAUGCUAUUUUGGCUCAGCGAUAUUAGUGGAAGUUUAGGAAAAUCCUACUGAGUAGUAGGUCGUGAUUUUUUGACCUUUUGAGCCGGUGUUUUCCACGUAAAAAUAUUUAUGUUCUUUAUUUUUAGUAAUUAUUAUUUCGCAAAAAAGUAGUUGUUGGAACACUUAGAAUAACCAUGUUCUUUUAUAGUUUGUUAAGCGAAAAUUAGGUACCACACAAAUUACCCCUCCCCCUUCUCUUGUGUGGUAUUGACACUCAAAAUAUCAAUUGGGUAUCAGAGUGGGUUAUCCUUGAAGAGGUUAACACCUUCGAAAAAUAUCAAGAUGAGUGCACCACCUGGAAACUGGGAAGGGCAAUUCACUGCUAGGCCUUCACUCUUUAAUGGUCAUUACUAUUCUUGGUGGAAGAACAUGAUAAGAGAUCAUAUCAUAUGAGAGGUCUGUGAACUUUAGGACAUAGUCACUGAUAGUCCUUUGGAAACUACAAAGAAGAAUGCUGAAGGAGUGGACGUGCCAAAGACAAGAGUUGACUGCACUGUUGAAGAUUUGAAGAAGUGGGAGAAGAAUGCCAAGGCCAAAAAUGCCUUGUGUCUGGAUUGGGUCCAGAUGAGUACAGCAGGAUUCAAAGUUGUAUCACUACCAAAAAGAUAUUACAAGUGGGUCAUGAAGGAACUCCUCAAGCAAAGACAUCUAAGUAUGAUGGAAGGAGAAAAUAUCCAGGAGAUGUACACAAGGUUCACAAUAUUAACAAAUGAACUUAAAUCUCUUGGGAGAAUUAUCCUUGAAGAAACAAGGUUUAGAAAAUCUUGACAAGAGUUUUACUAGUGACUUGGGAAAGCAGAAUCACUGCUAUUCAGGAAUCCAAGAACAUUGCUACCCUUAAGUUAGAUGAACUAAUUAGAAAUCUCACUGCCUAUGAACUGAGGAAGCAAACCAUGACAAUGGAUGCAUCCAAGAAGGAAAGAAGUCUUGCUCUUAGAACAGCUAAAGGUGCAUAUCUGGAGGAUGAUAAAGUGGCUAUGAUCACAAAAUAUUUCAAAAAGUACCUAAUAAAAGGAAAAGGAUUUUCAAGAGGUACAAACUCCAACAAACCAAGGGCUCUUGAGAAACAUACUAACAAGGGUUGCUACAAAUGUGGUAAGACAGAUCACAUAAUCAAAAACUGUCCUCAGUUGGAAAUUGAAUGGAAGAAUGAAAUGGCUGAACAAAGGAACAAGAAGAAGGAACAGGUUCAACCCAAAAGGAAUAAAGGAUCAACAAAGGCCAUAGUUGUUGAUUGGGGAGAAACCUCAAACGAGGACUCAGAAGAUGAAGCUGGAGAUGAACAAGCACUUAUGACCAACAGAGAAUUAGAUGAUGAACAAGAGGUAACUGUCCUUCUUCUCAAAGACAAGAUUAAAUUUCUAUCUAAAGAAAAGUUGUCUGAACUAUUGUUAGACUUCAUUGAUGACUCUGAGAUAAUUAACAAUAAGAAGGAUUAUCUGUCUAGGGAGUGUGCAAUCUUAAAAGCCAAGUGCAAAAAUCUAGAAUCUAGGGCUAAUAAGAGUGACAGUAAAAAUGCUGAGUUGAAGAGCCAGGUUCUUGAACUUGACACCAGUGUCCUAGAGCUUAGGUAUGAAAAUUUAAAACUGAAACUAGGAACAUGAAAGAAGAAAGUUGAUCUCACACACCUCAUCUUAGAAGAAAACUUAGGAAAAAUGAAAGGUGAAUUGUACAGGACGGAUGAGCAGAUAAGAGUUUUAAAAGAAGACCUAGGGAAGGUAAAGCAUGAACUAGACAGAACUUGCAAAUGGAAUAAGGCUUCUGAUGCACUAUCAUGGCUGCAAGGACAUCACAGUAGCAACAAAAAAGGACUUGGCUAUAGGACUCAAGCACUUAAGUGGGACCCUAAAAGCAUGUACCUCAUUCUUCCUAAAAACAAAAUUUACACACACUGUGACAAGACUAGUCAUUACAAAAAUGAAUGUAAUGUAAAAGAAAAGGCUAGUCAAAAGAACAAAGCUUUUGUUCAAGAAAAAAGUAGGUUGCCUGGGUGGGCAAAAAGGAUUUUAAUUGACCCAUUUGCCUAUAGAAAAGGACCCAUACUAGUUUGGGUUCCUAAGACUAACCCUUGAUUUUCUUUUGCAGGUCCAAGUGAAGGAAAGCAGCCAAAUAUGGUACAUGGAUAGUGGCUACUUAAAACAUAUGAUUGCAAGCAAGAACUAGUUCCUUUCACUUGAGGACUUGAAAGGAGGUAAUGUCUCCUUUGGAAAUGGGAAGAAAGGUGAGGUCAUUGGGGUUGGAAAGGUAGGUAGCAUAUAAUCUCACUUCAUUGAGAAUGUCUACUUGAUAGAUGGCUUAAAGUAUAGCCUAAUCAGUGUCAAUAGGUAAGACAGACUCUCACUCCAUUGAGAAUGUUUACUUGAUAGAUGGCUUAAAGUAUAGCCUAAUCAGUAUGUUACACUGUAUGAUAGAUGUAACCUUGUAACAUUUACAUCUACCAUUUGUGAUUAACCUUACUACUUGUCACACCUCCUUUUGGCUACUACAGCCCGGCGAAGGGCGUAGAUAAGGGAGUUUUUCCAAUUAAAAACAAUCGAAACGGGAUUAAUUAUUAAAAAUCAGAGUCGCCACUUGGGAUAAUUUAUGGUGUCCAAAGUCACCGGUUUAGAAUCCCGAAUCAAGGAAAAAAGCGACUUUGUUUACAGUCCGCGAUCGAGAAAUUCGAGUAAGAAAUGAUGUUAACCUGGGAGAAGGUGUUAGGCACUCCUGAGUUCCGUGGUAAUAGCACGGUCGCUCAACUGUUAUAUUUGACUUAAAUUAUCUGAUUUUUUACAAUUAUGAACCUAUGUGCAUAAUUUAAUUUUUAGUCACUUUUAUUAUUAUUAUGAUAAUUCUUAAAGAAAAUUGCAACGUCGUUAAAACAUGCCUCGAACCACGCCACAUAAAUACACCCGUAGUUUUUAACACAUUUCAACUUCGUUGGGAUUUGGAUUUGGGUCACAUAGAUGUGCACCCAAAUUUAGGAAAGUAAUAUUAUUAAACACGCACCUAAAGAAACUACGCAUUCGCACUUUGUGAGGGCCAUAGAAUUCGCUAAAUGGUACGCCUCGAAUUCUAAGGAUCAAAAUGUCAAUUAAAUGAGGGCCGUGCAUUUUAAAAUUUUAUUUGGCACGGCGCACCUUAAAAUUAUUCGACUAAUUUUAGUAGCUAUGUUUACUCACUUUUAAAGCUAAUUCGAAAUUAAUCAUUGCGACUACGCCACGGAAACCGUACCCAUAAUAACAAUGCUUCUUAGAUUGCAAUUGAACAGUGAAAUACUUUUAAGAGCAAGCAUGAUUCGAAUUAACAAGAAUACGAACUACAAGCUACCUAAGUUUGACGCCAAACAAAAAUGAAUUAAAAAGAAAACAUUGCAGGCACUCCUAAAUUCAAAAGCACUGUGAUGCGUGAGUCCGCGUACCCUCCACCCACGAGCAAAAAUAGUAACUCCAAUCACCCAAAUUGUAUCUACUACAUUAGAAAUAUCCAUCGUAUAAUUGCUAAGCCCAUCAAUGAAGACAACAGUUUGCAUUAGGCAGUUAUUCAUAUGGAAGAUAAACUAGUCACCCACCUUUUACUAUUCCAUAAAAUUUAUCACCUUCAAGCUUCAGUGUUAGUUUCAAAAUUUCAGUCCCUAUGCCUUCUUGAUGUAGAAAUGAAAACAGAUAAUAAUGAACCGCUUGUGUUAUGGUUUAACAUCGAAUCGAACCAAAGCAUAGGCAGCGACAGAGACGAGUGCAAGACAUUAUUCUAGAAAUUAUUGUGAGGAAGAGGCCGACUUACUCGUUCCCGAGUGAACUUCGACAAAUCAAAUGAGAACAAAACAAUACUAUAUCAUUACUCUUAAGUCUCAAUCACAUCAAAGCAAAAUUUAUACUGCAUCAACAGUAGCUAAUAGAUCUAUUAUCCUACUAAUGAGUCAAAUCGUUUUAUCUGUACAUCAUAACAAAUUGGUUUUCAAGUCUAAAGUAGACCCAUGUCAUGUCAUUGCUUCCAAGAAUCCAAAGUUCAAAUCCAAGCAAAUUUGCUGCUUAAUGUAGAAGCCUACCAACCAACGAACUAACUUAUCAAAUUAAAAAUGAGUUCAUAUAUCAGUUACUUUAGUGGCAUAAGCACAUGCUUGUUUUAUCCAAUAAAAUUCCUAGUAUCCAUGAAUUGAACAGUUCAUAGACAAAAAACAAAAUCUUACACAUAACUAUUAUUACUAAUUAACAUAAAAGGGUGCUAACACACAGCUAGUAACAUUUAGAAUCAAACGUUCACGAACAAGAGUGAAGAAGAAAAAUAUAAAGAAUAAAAAUAAUAAAAUUGAUACCAAAAGAUAAGAAAGAAUCGAACCUUUUUUUGUAUUCAAUAAGAAUGUCAGAUCAAAUCCUUAACAAAGCAGUUGUGAGGGGGAAUGAAAAUCCAGAAAUUGAUGCUGAAAACUUGAGAAAAAAACAGAUCUGGACCCGACCAAAGAACCUCCAAAACUUCGAACAUUCACCUCAGCUAGUCUCAACGAAGAACUCGACCAAUCCGAAAACAAGAAAGUUGGAAAUUAAAACAAACAAAACCCAUAACUUCCUCUCAUCUGAGUUCUCUUACUGUACACGUGCGUGUGUGAGUUACGGCGUUUCCGGCGAGUUCGCCGCUGUUAAAGAAGAAGAAACUGAUGUGGGUGUGAAGAGAAGAAGAUAAAGGGGUGCUGUUUGGACGAGGGGCCGCUUUCAGUGUUCAGCCACUGCUCAAGGAUCUUACGGACGGUUACUUCAUUUUGCCAUGGAGAGAAGCUGGUCUUCUCUUGGAGAUGAAGACCGAAUGGAGAAGUGGGGUCCGUUCUUUGUGAAAAUGCGGCGCUCAAUUUUAGAAUCCUCGCCAAAGCUGCGCUACUCUUUUCUUGUGUUCUCAGGCGUGUAUCUUGUUUUCUCUGUAUGUAUGGUCGUCGGAUUCCGGCGUGGUGAGGGUGAAGAUCAAAAUCUAGUGGGUGGGGGUCCUUGUGUAUCGUCUAUGCUGCCUCCAAAGGUUAGAGAAGAUAACCUCUCCUCCGGACUGCAGCUUCUUUUGUUGUCUAUCUAUCAGCGUGUCUGUAUUGUAUGUGUAAUAGGUCUAGGUUUUUUUCACGAGAAAUGAGUUUGGG